CCCUUAGAUGUUCUGGGCCGCACACGCGCUACACUGAAGGAGGCAGCGUGUACUCCUGGAUCGAAAGAUUUGGGUAACCCGCGAAUCUCCUUCGUGCUAGGGAUUGAGGUUUGCAAUUAUCCUUCAUGAACGAGGAAUUCCCAGUAAGUGCAAGUCAUAAGCUUGCGCUGACUACGUCCCUGCCCUUUGUACACACCGCCCGUCGCUACUACCGAUUGAAUGAUUUAGUGAGGACUUCGGACUGGGACCGAUGCGGCUUUCGGGCUGCGUCGGUAUUGUGGAAAGAUGUCCAAACUGUAUCAUUUAGAGGAAGUAAAAGUCGUANCA
This 327-nucleotide ribosomal RNA is filed under the name uncultured eukaryote. RNAcentral's name for it is "partial 18S ribosomal RNA". It matches the Rfam family "Eukaryotic small subunit ribosomal RNA", at positions 1470 to 1796 of the family's 1831-position model. The record is from RNAcentral.